Long non-coding RNA from Microplitis mediator, 3164 nucleotides. RefSeq lists it as uncharacterized. NCBI's taxonomy places the organism in Eukaryota, Metazoa, Arthropoda, Insecta, Hymenoptera, Braconidae. The record is from RefSeq and is a predicted model, not a curated record. The transcript has 3 exons.
AACGGCGUCACGUAAAUUUCCUAGAAGUCCAGCUCCGUAUCCUGACCAAGCGUACGCGAGGAAAGUUAAUAAAUAUACAAAAAUUUUUCUAUAUCGCAUUAAAUCCAUUGUAGGCAAUGAUUAUAAUUAUAUCAGACUGGUCAUGAGAAUUUUAUGUUCCCACUUGAUUGGUAAUGAAGGAGGUGAACAACUGCAGUGAGAAAUUCAAAAAUCUAGGAAGUGAUGAUGAAAAAAAUGAUAAAUUUUGCUGGUUCGUAUUUUUAAUUACAAGCAGCAGUAUCAGGAAAGAUUUAAAUUUAAAUGUCAACUGGCCCCGCUGAUCUGGUGCACGAAUCAGCACAAGUAGAAUUUGCUUUUAAAAAAUUUCCAUACGCUGAUUAGCAGUGAUGGGCAUACUUAAGUACAUUUGUAUUUUAAGUACUAAUUAAGUAAUAAAUACUUUGAUAUAUAAUAAUUUUUUUUUGUAGAGUAAAAAUAUGCAAGUAAUUAGUAUUUUUAACAAGUACUAAAUACGACAUACCGAAGUACUUCGUAUUUUAUUUAUUAUCUAAUUACAAAUACUUUUAAUUUUUCCUAGUACUAAAUACAAUAGUAUUUAGUAUUUUAUUUUUAAACUAAAUAAGAAUACUUUUGUACUCAUAGAACGGUUCAAGUACUAAGUACAUUUGUACUGAGAUUAAAAGUUGCAUUCAAGUACUAGAUCAUUGGUAUUUCUAACAAAAAAUAAUUAAAAACUCCCAGAGUAUUUUUUAGAUUGACUAUAGAAGUUGAGCCAAUAAUAAAUUAAAACGAUUAAACCUUUUAACUCUACAAGAACUUUUUAUUUUAAAUUUUAUGUCAAUAGAAAAAAGUUUUUUUUUUUUUUAAGAACCCGUAAAGAAAUGAUGUUAUAAAAUUUUAUAUAAUCAUUUUUGCUCGGGUAUAUAAAAAUGAUUGAUUAGAUUACUGGUUGAAGCUGAAACAUAAACUGUACGCGUGCACUUAUUUGAACUAAACAGUAUAAAUUUGACAACAAUAUAUUAAUAUCAUCUAAUGAAUAAAUUUGACUAUUAAAAUCUUAGGAGUGCAAUAGUAUAUUCAAAAAUGAUAAUUUUAAGUCUCAAUCGUCGUAUGUAAAGUUCUGGUAGUGAUAGAAUAAGUAUUAAAAAUUUUUUUUUAAUAGAUACUGUGACAAUUAUAAGUUGUAAUUACAAUUAUGCUUAGUACUUAUAUCAAAUUUAAGUAAAAAGUACUACAACAAGUACAAUGUAUUUAGUAUAGAUAAAUCGUAAAAAAUACUAAGUUACAAACUAUUUAGUACUUUGUCUGUUUCUGAGGAUAAGUAUUUUUUAGACACGUACCAAUAAUUCAUUUGGGUUUCAAGUCAAAUUUUACUUAAAUACUCAGUAUUUAUUAAAUCCUAUUUUGCCCAUCUCUGCUGAUUAGUUUCUUGAAGAAUGGAAUAGAAAAUUAUAAAUUUAUGGUAAAAUUGUUUGAUUUACUUAUGAAAAAUUGAUAAUAAUUAAGUUUUUUAAAAUAUUUUUUUUGGUGUCAUUAUUCCAGUCCGUUUACUUUUUAGUUCGUCCAUUUUUGGUUUGUGACUGCGAUUGAUUUUUCUAUUAAUUUAAAAUUGUAAAAACAAAUUAGUUAUUACCUGGCAUUAAUUAACAAAAAAAAAGUUUAUGCCUAAAAUCAUACAAGUUCUAAUUACUUUGCUAUUUUUUUUGGAUUCAUCAGCUGUGACAUGGACACCAACUUCCGAUGGGCUUAAUUUUUCUUUUACGCUGUAUUUAUUCGCUUCUAGGCUUCUGCAGAUCGACGACCUGUUUGAACUAUAUGAUGAACCCAUCAUUUGCCUUGAGUUACUAUGAGACAAAUUUUAUUCCUCAACAAACCAACCAAGUCUCUUACACAUAACAUAAUGUAAUGAUUUCACGAAAUAAUUAAUAUAAAUACAACGGAAACGUCAAAAUCAUUAUUAUUUUGUUAUCAUAAAAUUAAAUUGAACCCUCACGUUACAGUAAAUUUAAACAAUUUUGUUAACUAGAUAUAACUUUUAAACUGAGCUGUUUAAAAUAAAUUUUAAUUAAUUUAUACUCAAUCAAAUUUUUCCUACUCAGUGAUUAAAUUUGUCAUUAUUUAAUAUCUUAUUUUACAAUACGUGAUGAUAAAUAAUUACAGUCGAUAGUUUUGUAUUUUUUAAUCACGUAUUGUCUUUUAAAAAUGUCAUAUUACUUGUAAUCAAUGAUAGUUUUUCUCAAGUUAUCAAAAGUACUGGUCUUGCUGAUCUGAUGCACGAAUCAGCGCCAAGAGAAUUUGCGUUAGAAAAAUGUCCAUACGCUGAUGGCUUUCGUGAAGAAUGGACUGAAAAAUUAUAAACUUGUGGUAAAAUACUUUGAUUUAAUUAUAAAAAAUCUCUAAUAAUUAAUUUUAUUCUCGUUGCACAGGAUCAAUGGGUUUAAUUAAAUAAAACAUUAAUCAAUAAAAAAUUUAUCAAUUGAAACAGUUUACAUUUUUUUUUCUUUCAUUUAAAAUUUAAAAUUUCUUGAUUUAUUUUUGUCGAUGGAAACAUCCAGUCUGUGGUCGUCUUUGGUCUCUUGACUUUGACUAGUUUUUUAUUUUCUUUUAAAUAUAAAAAAAGUUUUAAUUACUUUUAAUAUUUAUAAGAAAUAUAAUAAUAAAAAUUUAAAUUACUUUAAAAUCAUUUUUUUUCUCCUCUGGAUAAAUCCGACAAAGUAUGAAUUCUUACCCCUGAGUCUGUUACUUUUCCUUUAACUCUGAAUUGAUCAUUUCCAGCACCGACACUUAAUCCAGAUUCACCAACUUUACCUUUAACUCUGAAACUAUCAGAUCUAGCACCGAUACUAAUUCCAGAUGGACCAACUUUCCCUGAUACUCUCAUUUUUUCACCAGUUGGACUUUUCAUGUCAGAACUUACGGUAACAGAUUGACCCAUUGUCUUGAAAUUUAUUUAAAAAGUUAUAAAAUAAAAUUAUUUAAUAGGAAAUUACUAUUUAAAAUAAAAUAAUGUAAUUAAUUAUCAAAUAAAUAAUUACGUUACGGACGUUGAGUUACAAAUAAACUCAAUAGUUUAAUAAGUAAAGUAACUAAUUCAACUGUAAUGUUUUCCAUAAAUUUUAUUCAAUUUAUAGAUAAUUUAAUAAUAAAAAUUUUCAUUAUUUUGU